CUAACCACGCGAAGGUAGCAUAAUCACUUGUUCUUUAAAUGGGGACUAGUAUGAACGGCAUCACGAGGGCUAAACUGUCUCCCCCCUCCAAUCAGUGAAACUGAUCUCCUCACUUUAAAACUAGUACCACUGCUCCCACAAUACACCACACAAGCCAGGACAUUAUGGCUACUAGUCUUUCGGCUGGGGCGACCAUGGAGAAAAACAGAACCUCCAUAAUGAACGGAAAUUUUCCUAAUCCCAGAAUUACAAUUCCAAGAAUCAACAAAUUGACAUACAUUGACCCAAAUAUUGAUCAACGAACCAAGCUACCCUGGGGAUAACAGCGCAAUCCAUUUCAAGAGCCCCCAUCGACAAAUGGGCUUACGACCUCGAUGUUGGAUCAGGGUAUCCUGAUGGUGCAGCCGCUAUCAAGGGUUCGUCUGUUCGACGACUAAGACCCUUCGUGAUCU
This 452-nucleotide ribosomal RNA is filed under the name Rhombophryne savaka. RNAcentral's name for it is "partial large subunit ribosomal RNA". It matches the Rfam family "Bacterial large subunit ribosomal RNA", at positions 1942 to 2606 of the family's 2925-position model. The record is from RNAcentral. Lineage: Eukaryota; Metazoa; Chordata; Amphibia; Anura; Microhylidae.